CCCCAAUCCACGCAUUUCAUUUUCUCCUCUCCUUUCUAUUAAAAUUUUCAAAUUCCUAGGCCCUUUUCACCGCCUCCUCCUCCCCCCCCCCCCCCCCCUCUUUAUUUUCAAACUUCCAUUUCUCCCUAUCAUCUUGGUUUCGGUAAUGGGUGGCGUGGGGCUAUUGGGGGACUUGGCUAUGGUGAUGCAUGGAGCUUAGUUGCAGUGAUGACGGUGGUAUUAUGGGUUUUUCAUAUUUUGCCUGGUAAAUCAUUAUUUUACCUGUUACCCAAUCUGGGUUUCUUCAUAUAUUGGUGUUUUCUAUUUUUGUGGUUUUUUUUUAAAUAUAUUUUUUGUGUGAAAAGUUCUAUAUUUUGGAUUGGUAUGGUGUAGUUUUCAAGUAAUGGCUGCGUUUUUAAUAACUAAUAGUGAUUUGUUGUUCUCAUCCAAAUCAACCAGUUAUUGUCAUGCGAUUUAUUUUAUUUUUCAUUUUUUCAGUGGGAGUAAGCUAUAUCUCUCUGUGACAGGGUGGUGCCAUGCGUGCCUUGAAUAAUAUACUAACAAAAUGGGUUCCAGUUGCAGAGAUAAAUAGAUCAUUGGCAUUAGUUUAUACUGAUGUUAUGAUUUACAUUUUCCCAUAAUAAUUAAACUCAAUAAUUUACACCAACUAGUUAACUAUUGACAUGAUGGAAUCAGCAUAUUAAACUAUCAACCAUUCUGAAUUUGGGCUUUUUUCAGCUUUAUGCAAACAUCCAUCACAUUCAUUUUGUGUUUGUGAGUAAUUACAUAACCACAUGAAGUCAUGUUCAUGGUACAUGUCAUUUCUAUAGGAGCAACUUGAAUUGCAUUUAUAUCAUUGUUCCAUUUCAAAGGGAGUUGUUUUAUAUAAUUAAAAGUUAGAAAAUGCAUUGUUGUUUAUUAAUUAUCAUUAUCUUAUUCAGGAUUAAACCACCAUGAAUUACUUCGUAAGAUGCAAGAUUGCAGGCGUGAAGAAGAGAUCAAGGGCAUUGAGUUCAAGAAGUUAGUAUUGGAUUUUUAAUGAAAGCGAAAUUAAUGUAAUUUUGUGUAACUUUGAACGGUGAAUUUAUGAAAUGAAAAUGUUUGCAAUUUCGUAUUUAUUUACCGGUGUAUGAAAAUAUGUUAAUGUGAUAAUUAGUGGCUUCUUUUUUGUAAUUCAAAUUUUCAAUGGA
Molecule: long non-coding RNA, 1169 nt
Filed under: Olea europaea subsp. europaea
Lineage: Eukaryota; Viridiplantae; Streptophyta; Magnoliopsida; Lamiales; Oleaceae
Source: RNAcentral